RNA transcript from Perognathus longimembris pacificus (Pacific pocket mouse), 994 nucleotides. It is a transcript of the gene named methylosome subunit pICln-like, with no coding region annotated. The transcript has 2 exons. The record is from RefSeq and is a predicted model, not a curated record. NCBI's taxonomy places the organism in Eukaryota, Metazoa, Chordata, Mammalia, Rodentia, Heteromyidae.
GCCGCCAUGAGCUUCCUCAAAAGCUUCCCGCCGCCAGAGCCCCCAGCAGCAGCAGCCAGACACCGAGGCCAUGCUGAACGGCAAGGGCCUGGGCACCGACACCCUCUACAUCGCCAAGAGCCGCCUGUCUUGGUUAGAUGGUUCUGGAUUAGGAUUCUCACUGGAAUACCCCACCAUUAGCUUACAUGCGGUCUCCAGGGAUCUAAAUGGCUAUCCUCAAGACACUUGUAUGUUAUGGUGAAUGCCAAAUGGGAAGUGGAGGAGCUGUUCACGACGAUGUGUGAGUGCCAAGCCCUGCACCCUGACCGCGAGGAUGAAGACUCGGAUGCUGACACGGAUGCUUAUGACGAAGAAGCGUAUGAUGUGGAGGCACACGAACAAGGACAGGGGGAUAUCCCUACAUUUUAUACCUAUGAAGAAGGAUUAUCCCAUUAGAAGGAAUGCUCUCUUAGUCUGUGAGCAGUCAGUAUAACAUGGCUGGAGUCCGGACAGAAGAUUCAAUAAGAGAUUAUGAAGAUGGCAUGGAGGUGGAUACCACACCAAUAGUUGCUGGACAGUUUGAGGAUGCAGAUGUUGAUCACCGAAAGGGCUUUAAUCUUCUUUAAGAUUCUGCUUGGAACUGUAGGAGGGAACUCGGUACCUCUUCCACUGUGGAGUGGGGCUGGUGAAAAGCUUUCUUUCCUUCAAAAUUCACUUGAACCAGUUCUUUCUCAAGACAAUGAUACUGAGGCAGGCAGCAGGUUGUCACCAGCAGAAGAAAUUAUGACCUUUAUUAAUAAAGGUGAAUUAACUUAACCAAGGGGUUGCUUGUAGUUUAUCACUUACCCCAAACUUUCUGUGUCUGGUCUUACCUGAGUAGGCCACUACUUCCUGCCUUUGCUGCCCUUCUCUGACCACUAGCGGGACUCUGGUGAAACCCACUGGAGCUUGGGGUGUGAGUAGACAAGGGUGGGGUUUGCAAGAGAGCGUCUGAAGCUGAAAUGCCUCUCUGGUA